UGGGGAAUAUUGGACAAUGGGCGCAAGCCUGCUCCAGCCACGCCGCGUGAGUGAUGAAGGCCCUAGGGUUGUAAAGCUCUUUCACCGGUGAAGAUAAUGACGGUAACCUGAGAAGAAGCCCCGGCUAACUUCGUGCCAGCAGCCGCGGUAAUACGAAGGGGGCUAGCGUUGUUCGGAUUUACUGGGCGUAAAGCGCACGUAGGCGGACUAUUAAGUCAGGGGUGAAAUCCCGGGGCUCAACCCGGGAACUGCCUUAGAUACUGGUAGUCUUGAGUUCGAGAGAGGUGAGUGGAAGUCCGAGGGUAGAGGUGAGAUUCGUAGAUAGUCGGAGGAACACCAGUGGCGAAGGCGGCUCACUGGCGCGAUACUGACGCUGAGGUGCGAAAGCGUGGGGAGCAAACAGG
Molecule: ribosomal RNA, 404 nt
Filed under: Actinomycetes bacterium
Lineage: Bacteria; Bacillati; Actinomycetota; Actinomycetes
Description: Actinobacteria bacterium partial 16S ribosomal RNA
Rfam family: Bacterial small subunit ribosomal RNA
Source: RNAcentral